UAAAAAGAGAGAAUUUUCAUAGUAAUCUAAAAACGUCACACUUCAGACUAAAUUGAUAGUGAUUGUCAGUCCCUUUUUAUUGUUUAGAGCAUCUCCAACCCAAUCUCAAAUCCUCAAAUUUGAGGUUUUAAUAUUCAAAACCUCAAAACUAAUAUUUAUUUUUUAGUCUUUACAAUUAUUUUAUUUUACAAAUACAUCUAUUAAUUUUAUUUAGAGUAACUUAAGUACACCAAAACAAA
Molecule: long non-coding RNA, 239 nt
Filed under: Brassica rapa (field mustard)
Lineage: Eukaryota; Viridiplantae; Streptophyta; Magnoliopsida; Brassicales; Brassicaceae
Description: long non-coding RNA (BRAP_LNC005312)
Source: RNAcentral